This 1014-nucleotide long non-coding RNA is filed under the name Sus scrofa (pig). Its description in RNAcentral is "lncRNA (ENSSSCG00070005773.1)". The record is from RNAcentral. Lineage: Eukaryota; Metazoa; Chordata; Mammalia; Artiodactyla; Suidae.
GCGGGGCGCCGCUCUCAGUCCCGUUCCGCCGGGGUUGAGGCGUGUCGUCCUUUGAGCGAGGAGCGCGGCCAGAGGGCCGGCGGCUCCCAGGCUCCGCCCGCCCUGCUGCGCUCAGUUCCUGGGGCUCCUCUGCCUGGCAUCUUGCAGCGAGAGAGAAGCAGGAAGUUUGACGUGCUAAGCUGUGCGUUAAGGGAGCUCCGAAGCUGGACCUGCGCGACGCGGGGACCUGUGGAAGAGACAGACGCGACGCUCGGAGGAACCCGCGGAAAUGGACCCCUCGUCUUUCAAGGGGGAGCGCGGCCUUGAGGCUUAGCUCAGGGCCAGCAGCGGCCGGGGCCUCCCGCAGCCCCACGCGCCGGAGCGCCGGUGGCCCGCGCAGCGGGCGGAGGCCGCGGGCCUCAGACCAUGCUCACCCUCAUCACCGAGAAGCUGCAGAACCAGAGCCUGGACGACCUCGCCCGCAAGAGCUUCGAUGCCGGCCUGUGUUCUGCUGAGAAACUGAACAAAUGGGGCCCCCGGCUCCCUUUUGAGCCUGAAGGUAAGUGUUUAAAGCCCCGCCAGCCGUCCUGGGCGCGAGGGGGCGGGAGGGAGCGUGAGGCUGGAGCCUUUCUGGAAGGUUCCUGGCAGCGCAGAACUGAGAGGCCUGGGGUGGGGGUGGGGUCCCUCGGCCACCAGGGCAAGAACAGGGUGGGGUCAGGUGGUACAGGAGGGUGGCCCACGCUGUGGAUGUUGGGACGUGCGUCCUGGAGGGCGGGUCUGCCCUGACAAGUGCCCACGGGGCGACGGGGCCGGGGGCGGGGAGCGGAGGCCGUGACCAUGGCUGGUCCGAGGUUGUGGUGAGGUGCUGGUGGUGUGAGUUUCAUCCAGGUUGUGACUGGCCCUCCUGUGCGGCUCUGUCCCUUCCGUUGGGUGACCUUGUGCCGGGCGCCCUCCAGGGCUCAAGUGCGGGCUGCCACCAAGGUCUUGGGUAUCUGGACAGGAGGAGCAGGUGUGGGCCCAGCACCUGGCCGGGGC